RNAcentral lists this ribosomal RNA (253 nucleotides) under uncultured bacterium. Its description in RNAcentral is "partial 16S ribosomal RNA". It matches the Rfam family "Bacterial small subunit ribosomal RNA", at positions 524 to 776 of the family's 1533-position model. The record is from RNAcentral.
UACGUAGGGUGCAAGCGUUAUCCGGAAUUAUUGGGCGUAAAGAGCUCGUAGGCGGUUUGUCGCGUCUGCCGUGAAAGUCCGGGGCUCAACUCCGGAUCUGCGGUGGGUACGGGCAGACUAGAGUGAUGUAGGGGAGACUGGAAUUCCUGGUGUAGCGGUGAAAUGCGCAGAUAUCAGGAGGAACACCAAUAGCGAAGGCAGCUCGCUGGGACGGUACCGACGCUAAGGCGCGAAAGCGUGGGGAGCGAACAGG